This 253-nucleotide ribosomal RNA is filed under the name uncultured bacterium. RNAcentral's name for it is "partial 16S ribosomal RNA". It matches the Rfam family "Bacterial small subunit ribosomal RNA", at positions 524 to 776 of the family's 1533-position model. The record is from RNAcentral.
UACGUAGGGUGCGAGCGUUGUUCGGAAUUACUGGGCGUAAAGCGCACGUAGGCGGCUUUGUACGUUAGAGGUGAAAGCCCAGGGCUCAACCCUGGAAUUGCCUUUAAGACUGCAUCGCUUGAACAUCGGAGAGGUAAGUGGAAUUCCGAGUGUAGAGGUGAAAUUCGUAGAUAUUCGGAAGAACACCAGUGGCGAAGGCGACUUACUGGACGAUUGUUGACGCUGAGGUGCGAAAGCGUGGGGAGCAAACAGG